This 75-nucleotide transfer RNA is filed under the name Parcubacteria group bacterium GW2011_GWA2_38_13b. Its description in RNAcentral is "tRNA-Val". It matches the Rfam family "tRNA". Rfam says of the family: Transfer RNA (tRNA) molecules are approximately 80 nucleotides in length. The record is from RNAcentral.
GCGCGCUUAGCUCAGUGGUAGAGCGACUCGUUUACACCGAGUAGGUCGUAGGUUCGAUCCCUUCAGCGCGCACAA